UAGUGCGUCUUCCCUAUGUCCCGUCCACUUGCACUGCCAAGUUUUUCAAGUAACGCCAAGCCUUCUUGGCUCAGCCUCAGUGUAUGGUGCAUGAUAGAAGAGCGGCACAUGUGCAGUGUUGCAUAUCCAGCCACCCAAGUUGGUCAGACGGUUUUAAACUUGGUUGCCCCUGCACAGCAGCCCUAUGCUGUACCCAUUUGAUCAUGGACUACAAGUUAUGAAAGAGGUUAGGCAUGGUCAUACAUACCUCAAAUUGGGUGAAGUUACAAAAAAAAAUUCAAAUCGCAUUAAAGAAGUCUGCAGAACUAGGGUGUCUACAAGACCACGCCUAAAGAUGUGUGUGAGUAAACUUGUUGCAGUGAAUACAUUCAUAGGUUUCUUCGAAUGUGCACAACCUUGUUGCAUAGCUGUACCGUGGAACAUGUGAAAGGGGAAACAUUACAACCACGGAAUCUGUUCCAAUUAUGCAAGGUUGCAAGUCUACACGCAUAAGCCAAUUAUGUGUCGGCAGUUGAGUACACAUGCUACAAGUUUUUUUAAGUGGCACCACCAACUAUGCUGAACAAUGUUUGACUGAGCUUGGUCAUAGCUUGUUUUUGAUCCGACAUUCACCUUGAGCGAGCACUGUGCCACCCUGGGGCGCAAUCGAUCUGUUGAUUUCACGUUCUGUUCAGUUGCUGCAAUGUCAUAAAGUGGCAUUAUGCAAAAUUUGUGACAACGGGAGGGAGAGAGCAGCCAAUCAGCAAGCGGUUAACUCCCCAAACGACAAAUGACCGGGGAGUUUGCCAUUUUUGGCGACACGCUCCUGUCAAUUAUUUUGAUUACGAGCAUGUUGCUGUCUAGGAGCAGAAUGAGGCGAGAGAUGUGAAGUUUGAGCAGUCAUCCGCUCGCUAGGAGACCAGCUUUGCAUGGCACGUCUGGUGGAUUGGAUCCAAACGGCAGCUGCGGCUACAGAAUGGUUCACCACUUGCCAAUUGGCUGCUCUCUCUAUCCUGUUCUCAAAACAUUUUGCAUACUGCCACUUUGUAACGUCCCAGCAGCAACAGAACACGUUUCAAACAAAGUUCUCCGAUCGUGCCCCUGGUACAAAGUACCGUAAAAACCCGCGUAUAAUACGACUGCACAGUGGCAGUACAUUGCAACAUCCGCGGGAGAGACGUGCAACAAAAUCAUGAAAACUGCAAAUGAAAAGCAGGCAGCAUCGGCUAUAUCCAUAGCUAUAAGCUAUGGAUAUAGCCGGAUGAUGACAGCGGUGUGCUUUGGAUUUAGUUUUACUACAGAGGCAGCCAGCAACAGAAGGCAUUCGGUUCUUGUGCUUCAUUUGGCACAAUUUUUCACUGAAAUGCUGUUUUGGAGCAGGAUGGCUCAAAGGCAAAACUUUUGGCACAGCUGUUCCACCACUGUGCAUCGACUCCACUUACGGCUUGUGAACUGGUGUAGGAGCAGCACUUUCAGGCAACAGCCAAACCGAAUAAAGGAACAGCGCCACAUCAUACAUCAUGAACUUUAAUAAGGACAACAUAUUUACACAGGUGUGCAUACUCUUGUGACACAAAAAUGUAAGCCAAGGACAAUGAAAUUUUGUACAUAACAUGCCAAAACAAAACAAAA
This is a long non-coding RNA of Dermacentor silvarum, 1611 nucleotides long. RefSeq lists it as uncharacterized. The transcript has 2 exons. The record is from RefSeq and is a predicted model, not a curated record. Lineage: Eukaryota; Metazoa; Arthropoda; Arachnida; Ixodida; Ixodidae.